RNAcentral lists this transfer RNA (72 nucleotides) under Camelus bactrianus (Bactrian camel). It matches the Rfam family "tRNA". Rfam says of the family: Transfer RNA (tRNA) molecules are approximately 80 nucleotides in length. Their secondary structure includes four short double-helical elements and three loops (D, anti-codon, and T loops). The record is from Rfam by way of RNAcentral. Lineage: Eukaryota; Metazoa; Chordata; Mammalia; Artiodactyla; Camelidae. RNAcentral also lists the same sequence under 2 other names.
GUAUAUAUAGCCCAGUGGUAGAGCACGUGCUUAGCAUCCAUGAGGUCCUGGGUUCAGUCCCCAGUAUCGCCA